AUUGAACGCUAGCGGCAUGCCUUACACAUGCCAGUCGAACGAGUGGCGGACGGGUGAGUAAUAUCUUGGAAACUGCCUUCUUGAGGGGGAUAACUACUGGCAACGGUAGCUAAUCCCGCAUACCCUUCGAUCUGCCCAGAUCGGAUUAGCUGGUUGGGGGGGUAACGGCUCACCAAGGCAUCGAUCCCUAGCUGGUCUGAGGGGAAGACCAGCCACACUGGGACUGAGAAACGGCCCAGACUCCUACGGGAGGCAGCAGUGGGUAAUUUGGAACAAUGGGGGAAAGCCUGAUGCAGCCAUGCCGCGGGUAUGAUGAAGGCCUUCGGGUUGUAAAGUACUUUCAGCGGGGAGGCGUUACCUGCAGAAUAAGCACCGGCUAACUACGUGCCAGCAGCCGCGGUAAUAC
This 406-nucleotide ribosomal RNA is filed under the name uncultured bacterium. RNAcentral describes it as "partial 16S ribosomal RNA". It matches the Rfam family "Bacterial small subunit ribosomal RNA", at positions 30 to 526 of the family's 1533-position model. The record is from RNAcentral.